AUAGCAAUAGCUACUUGCAUCAUACUAGAGAUGAUGCAAGAUCGACUAUGUCGAAUAAAAUUCUAGGUAGAAUUAUGAUAAUGACAUUGUCUGCCUAUGUGUCUUGACCAAAUUACGUGCCAGCAGUCGCGGUAAUACGUAGAAGACUAGUGUUAUUCAUGUUUAAUCGGUUUAAAGGGUACCUAGACGGUAAAUCAAGCCUAAAACUAAAAAAAAUAAAUGAAGGGACUAAUUUACUAGAGUUACUUAUGAGGGGGUAUUAAAGUACUGCUGGUGUAGAGAUGAAAUUCUGUCAUACCUCUUUUCAAUAGAAAAACAAUGGCACAGGUAUAGGCGAAGGCAUCCCCUUAUGUGAUAACUGACGUUGAGGGACGAAGGCUUUGUGUAGCGAACAGGAUUAGAUACCCCAGUAGUCAAAGCAGAAAAUGAUGAAUGUCAUAGAUUAGAUAUAUAAGUUUAUUCUAUAAAUGAAAGUGUAAGCAUUCCACCUCAAGAGUAAUUUGGCAACAUUGGAACUGAAAUCAUUAGACCGUUUCUGAAACCAGUAGUGAAGUAUGUUGUUUAAUUUGAUGAUCCGCAAAAAACCUUACCACAAUUUGAAUAUUUAUAUCUUUUAUUGUUUUUUCUUCUUAUUAUUCAAUUAUUGAAGAAUAAGAAAAAUAGGCAAUAAGAUCUUC
RNAcentral lists this ribosomal RNA (677 nucleotides) under Evernia mesomorpha. Its description in RNAcentral is "SSU rRNA". It matches the Rfam family "Bacterial small subunit ribosomal RNA", at positions 372 to 1018 of the family's 1533-position model. The record is from RNAcentral. Lineage: Eukaryota; Fungi; Ascomycota; Lecanoromycetes; Lecanorales; Parmeliaceae.